GAAGGAUCUGUCCAGACAUCUGUAUCAUAAGAUAUAAACUGUACAGGGAUCUUGACUAAAACAUUGACUACGCUCCGUAAAGACCACAGGCUGCCUCCCAGAGCAAACAACGCCACCGCUGGCAUGUACGCUCUCCGGCCAAACCAUCAGGAAGGAGUGGACGGACUCUCCCAGGGGCAGUAUUGAGGGGAACAGCUUGACUUCCCUUACCUCAACCCUACUGAAAUCCUGUGGAACCCAUGCAGUGUGAGUUUGGUCCCUCAUGCCUUCAUCACACCCUCCACCAGAGGAAGCCAGGAUAGAAAAAGGGCUUACACCCCUCAGGGAUACAUGCACCUCCUGUGGCUCGAAGGGUCCCAGCAAGAACACAAGAGGGGUAGCAGACGAGACGAGGCCGUUCGACCCAUCUAGCCCACUGAUGGGAAGCCGCAAGCAGGCUCUGUGUGUGCCGCCUGCAGCCUGCCUAUGACACCGCGAGCUCCUGUACUGGCUGACCCCGAGGGGCGUCACACUGAGCGGCCUUCUGCUCGGCGGUCCACCGUCUGGAGGCGUCACGAGCAGGCUGAGCACGGGCCUGCCCUGCGAGUCCUCCCACCUCUCUCUCGCAGCAGGAUCUGGACACUGAGGGAAACAUCUCGUUUGCAGGAAUUCAAAGUGAUUUUUGGGGUUAUUUGAAAAAUAACCAGCCCACCCUUCAGCACAGCCGGGGUCAGUGUUGACAUGACGCUGUCCACUUUGGAGCACUUUGA
Lepisosteus oculatus (spotted gar) is the source of this 749-nucleotide long non-coding RNA. RefSeq lists it as uncharacterized. NCBI's taxonomy places the organism in Eukaryota, Metazoa, Chordata, Actinopteri, Semionotiformes, Lepisosteidae. The record is from RefSeq and is a predicted model, not a curated record.